AACGCGAAGAACCUUACCCAGACUUGACAUGCAGAGGACAGCUCUAGAGAUAGAGUCUCCCUUAGGGGUCUCUGCACAGGUGCUGCAUGGCUGUCGUCAGCUCGUGCCGUGAGGUGUUGGGUUAAGUCCCGCAACGAGCGCAACCCUUAUCAUUAGUUGCCAACAUUUCGGAUGGGAACUCUAAUGAGACUGCCUGGGUUAACCAGGAGGAAGGUGAGGAUGACGUCAAGUCCGCAUGGCCCUUAUGUCUGGGGCUACACACGUGCUACAAUGGUCGGUACAGAAGGCAGCGAAGCCGAGAGGUGAAGCAAAUCCAACAAAGCCGAUCCCAGUUCAGAUUGUAGUCUGCAACUCGACUACAUGAAGGCGGAAUUGCUAGUAAUGGCGAGUCAGCAACAUCGCCGUGAAUACGUUCCCGGGCCUUGUACACACCGGUACUA
Molecule: ribosomal RNA, 440 nt
Filed under: uncultured bacterium
Lineage: Bacteria
Description: bacterial SSU rRNA
Rfam family: Bacterial small subunit ribosomal RNA
Source: RNAcentral